UGAAUUUACAAUUUUGUCUGCUUGCCUAACAGUUUACAUUGCAUUAUUACAUUUUUAUUCAUACACUGUCAUGUCAUUUGAUCAAUUAAUUAAAUAAUAAUACAGACUGCAAAUAAAACUUAAUACACAGCUUUGUUAACUCGCGCAAACUAUUGCUAUUGUUAUUGGUUGUUUCGCCGUUUUACUUUGAGCAUGAUUGGUUAAUCUGUCUGUUUUCCAGGAAACCGUCCAAUGAGAUUGUGCGCGGCUCUGCGCGCCUAUUUUAAAUUUGAAAAUAUGUCCGUUACUCUCGGUCGGAGCAGCUGCUUUGCGUUGAUUACUCGGUCAGACCUGGAUUAUUUUAUAUCUGCCUGUUGAAUUCUUACAUUUUGAGCGAAUUUUUGUUGAUAUGUCAAUGAAGAACAAAAGCUGGAAUGUGAACAGAGGAAGGGGUUGUACGUGGUCUGUAAAUACUGGCGAUAUCAGAUCAAGCAUUGGAAUAAGAUUUUUAUCGGGGGAGAACACCCAACAGAAAGACCCAUGACUCACCAACUGGCGCACUGAAAUGGGAGAUUCAUGUCACCUUCAUCAGUUCUUUCUUUAAUCACUGGACACCAUUAAGGGAAAGACCCUCAGAUAACAGGAUAAAUGCGGCUGCAGGUUUUGACAGAUUGGACUAGUUAACUUACUUCAACAACUUCUGGCAAGCUUAACAGUAAUGUUAGGGCCAUUUUCUGGAAGAGAAACCCACUUGGACAGUUUGACAAGGAUCAAGAGGCCAAGGACCAGGUGGUGAAGGCUGAACCAACAGACCAGACAGCUCUGCCACAGCCAGCCUCUGAACUUGCUCUACAGUCUGAAUAGCCCGGGUGAAGUUAAACUCUCCUUUGCUGGUGACCCAGAUGGCUGAGAACAUGUUAGGCUGGUAGCCUGGAAGCUAAGAGGAAAGCGGCAAAGGAGUUUGCAGGCGAGACUGAUGAUUGCAGAGGAGCUGAAACCCACAGAGGACAUGGGUCUCAAUGAACACAAGGUCAAGGCCUGGUGAGAGCCACUACAGAGGAUCAUAGCCAUCGUUGGAAUUCUGAAAGGACGUGGGUGAAUAUCAAUCUGCCAAAUGAACAUUCACAUCUGUAUAUUAAUACUGAUUAUAUA
Carassius carassius (crucian carp) is the source of this 1131-nucleotide long non-coding RNA. RefSeq lists it as uncharacterized. The record is from RefSeq and is a predicted model, not a curated record. The transcript is spliced from 7 exons. Lineage: Eukaryota; Metazoa; Chordata; Actinopteri; Cypriniformes; Cyprinidae.